GGAAGGUUGUCCGAGUGGUCGAUGGUGACGGUCUUGAAAACCGUUGAACGCAAGUUCCGAGAGUUCGAAUCUCUCACCUUCCG
Molecule: transfer RNA, 83 nt
Filed under: Spirochaetota bacterium
Lineage: Bacteria; Pseudomonadati; Spirochaetota
Description: Spirochaetes bacterium (freshwater metagenome) tRNA-Ser
Rfam family: tRNA
About the family: Transfer RNA (tRNA) molecules are approximately 80 nucleotides in length. Their secondary structure includes four short double-helical elements and three loops (D, anti-codon, and T loops).
Source: RNAcentral